GAGCAUUAUAAAGCUACGAAGAAAGUGUUGAUGUACUUGAAACGAACAAGGCAGUACAUGCUAAUGUAUCGAAGAUUUGAUAAAUUGGAGAUAGUUGAUUACUUCGACUCAAAUUUUGCCGGUUAUGUUGACAGUCGAUAAUCAACAUCUAUUUUACUUGUUCCUAUUAGCUGGAGGAGCAAUAUCAUGGAAGAGCGCCAAACAUACUAUCAUAGCAACAUCUACCAUGGAAGUUGAAUUUGUGGCAUGCUCUGAGCCCAGAGUUCAUGCAUUAUGGUUGAGAUUUUAUCUUAGGACUUGGAAUUGUCGACAGUAUUGCUAGGCUGCUGAGAGUGUAUUAUGAUCAUUCCGCACCAGUCAUUUUCUCCAAGACUGAAAAAUAUACUAAUGGCACUAAGCACAUAGAGCUCAAAUAUUUGGUCGCUAAGGAGGAAGUUCAGAAACAAAGAGUGUCUAUAGAACAUAUUAAGAUUGAGCUCAUAAUUACAGAUCCUUUAACUAAAGGAUUAUCACCAAAGACAUUUAAAGAGCAUGUUGAUCGUAUGGGUCUUGGUUUUGAUUCAUGAGUUUUGUUUAUGGAUCUCAAUCUUCAUGUUUUGUUCUAAGACAUUAAUAGAGAUCUCAUUUACCGUGUUUCUGAUAUCUUCUUGUUUUCCAUGUAUUAUGUAAUUAUGGAUAUGGAUUAUUCACAGCAAGAAUCGUCUUUGACAAAGACAUUAUUGGGACAUUAUAGUUACUUCCCGUUAUGGAUUGUGAUUAAGUGAUUUAUUAGCAUCGUGGUACAUGGAAGGGAAAAUGUUGCUAUAAUGAUAUUUACCUCCAUGACCCAUGUUGGCAAGUUAUUUAAUUACAAUAUUAACUAAUCUCACUAAGAGCCUAUUUAUGAAUGAUUUUGUCCUCCAAAAAAAUUGAUUUUUUGACCGUUAUUUUACUAUUCCUGCCGUCAUAUUUGAUUUCUUCUUUCACAUGUGGACCCCAUUUUUCUUCUAAUGAUCAAAAAAUCAAUUUUCAAAAUCACUCCCAAACAGGCUCUAAAGGUGCAAAUGAGCUGCUGUUAUGCAUAUAUUAUAGUUACCUUAUCAAUUCAAAUAAAAUGUCGUUGUCAUAUGGCUAAGUGUGAGAAUGUAAGAAUUAAUAUCCCACAUGACCGAAAAAAUAACUAACUUUAUUUGAAUUUUAAAUGUUGACGUAGUUAUUGGCUUAUAAAAGAUAGGCACGGUCGGUUUUGUGAGAUUUAUGAGGAGUUAUUUUUCUAAUUAACAACCUUUAUGGGGAGUGAUUACUAGAAGUUACUUUUGGGAAAAACCAUCCUCUCUCUACCGUACAUAUGUUGGCUGCGUACCCAUAGAUGUAGUCAAUUGAAAAGUUACAAGAAAUAGGGGUCAAGUUGAGAGAAACGUUUUCUCUAUUUUACUUGUUUAUCUUGUUUUGCAGAUUAGAAAUAUUUUGAUUAUCUCCAUGGAUCAAGAUAUGUUUCUUGAUCAUUUUAUUCAUAUGUGAAAAUUAUGGAAUUCUAAGAUCUUGGCAUUAAGGUUAAUUAAAUAUAUUACAUAUCUUUGACUUUUUCCGCAGCUUAGGAUAUAAUAGAGUAGGCUAAAUAUGGAUAAUUUUGCAUAUGGUAGUUUGGCUGCUCUAAAGGCUGUAAAACAUGUUUGUGUUAUUAGCUCUAAAGGCUAUAUAUCACUUUAAAUGAGCAUGUAUGUUUUCUAUUAUAAAGGUUAUUCCAUUACCAUAACAAGAGAAGAUACUCUUCUCAAAACUCUCUAAUUUGUUACUUCUAGCCCAUGAUUGAUGGGGAGAUAAGGAAAAGGGAGUAGGAUCUGAACCCUGGGAAUGCACCCAUUUUUGAUAAAUUCACGGCCCCAAAUGAAACUCAGUGAAGUGUUUCGAGUAUCAAAAUACGAGAGAGAAGUGAGAUUCAACAAAGAAAAUGAUUUUCUAGCAAUGAGGUAGGCUAUUUAUAAACCUAGUCGCAACCAUUCGAACACUAUAAGUCUUUUUGAAAUAGUGGUGAACGUUUAAACAAGUAUUUAAAAAUGAGUAGACAGCCUGUUCGGACUUCGGAUUGAAACAAUGUUUCUAUUAAAGUCGGUUAGCAAAUAUAUGUUAUUGAAAGUAGACAUCAAUCACAAACUUACCCAGAUGAUCAUAGAAAAUUUCAUGAAAACAAGCCAACGAUUGUGAUUUAUAUUAGAAAUAAUUUCACCGAGCACCUAAGAAUUAGUUUAAUUACAAUUUGGGCCAAAAUUUAAAUAAUUUUGUCCAAAAAAUAUAUGUAAGACAAGGACCAACUCAUCACCCGAACCAACUCAAACUCGAACUCGAACACAAACCAAGGCCCAUGCUCGUGUUGUGCUGAGUUGAGUUAGCAAGAUGGACGACGACAAAGAUGACAUUCUUGUAUGUGCUUAAGACUGAACCCAAUAAUAAGUAGAUCUUUUGCCGUCCAAAGACUAGUGGUGCCCCUUAAUGUUCGAACCCAAUUUUUAAACUUCCAUCACAUAAACCAAACAAUUUUUAAUGUGUGAUAAAAGUUCUACAAUUCAAUCAAAUUCUUUACUUUUCCAAAUUUCAAGUGAGUAACUUACGCAUCAAAAAUUUUAUUCAAUUCAUAUUGAUUUUCUAUAAAUAAAUUUACAUGUGAAUCAUCUCGUGGAGUAGAACGUGAAAUAUACUUUGUCACGUUAAUUUUUGAGCACAAGUCCCACAAAAAUUUGAGCUUAAAGUCGACCUAUUUCACAAUUAUUUAAAUCAUUUACAACAAAGUUAACUUUCUUAAGUAAUUUAAUUUUUUUAUAAAUAAAGAAAGAAAGAAAGAAAAAUGUAUACUUAAAUCUGGCAGGAAAAAUGUAUAAAAUGAAAAAAAAAAUGGAAUCUUUAAUAUUAGUGAUGACGGAGUUUUCUGUAAUAUUGAAAAUUAGAGUCCAUGUCUUAAUAUAUUUAAGAUAAAGAUACGACUUCUAUGCAUUUUAAAAUCAUCGUAAUUUUGAGAUAGUAUUUUAGGACGAGAAAAUUCCUAUUACAACCGAAUUAUGGAACUCACUAUUUCUUGCCACGUUUGUGAGACAUGUAUCAGGGGCGAAUCUAGGACUUCGACUCAGAUAAGACGGCCGUUGAUCGCUGGCCGUUAAUUGUCAAUAGUCAACGAUCGUAUAUCAUUGUCGUUUAUUAAUAUUAAAUUAAAUAAUAUUAAAAAUUCUUCAAUUUAUAUGUAAAUACACUAAAACAUAAAAAUCGUAUAUUUAUAUCAUAUUAUAGUUUAAUACAAUUCGAAAUAAUAUAAAUUACAUGAUACAUAAGACUUCUUUGUGUUUCAAUGCUUAACAAAUUGUUUGCUUAACUAAAAGUAGUUGACCGAUUAGAUACACCACUACAAGAACUCGAUUGAAAUUCAAUUAAAAAAAUCACUCCAUAAUUAGUAUGAGAAUUGAACAUUAAUCAAAUAUUAAAGUAAUUAAAAUUAAUUUUAAAAAUACAAUUAAAGUUUCAGUUUCCAAUUAUCAACACCAAUUCACAAAUUAUAAAUUUCCCAAUUUUUCAUUUUCAAUUUUCAUAAAUCACAUAUUCAGAUUUCACAAUUCUCAAAUUAAUUUUUAAUAUUAUAAUUUAGAGUAGACAAAUUCUCAAAUAACAUAUAAAUUAAAACUCAAUAUUUAUAAGUAAUAUCUUAUAAAUUAUUAAAGCAUGAAAUAUUUAAAAUGACAAACAUAAAAAAAAAAAAAAAAAAAAAAAAAAAAAAAAAGUCAUUUACUCACCUAGAGUCUUAACAUAUAUUAUUUUGUUAAAUUUAGAUUCAAAAUUCAACCAUUACCAUGAUGAUUAAGCUUUCAAUCAUCCUAAGGUCAUAGGUUCGAAUCCUUUCCUUAGGAAAUUAAUUAUGGUAAAUAUUGUAGAAAUAAAAAUUUUGCACAAUGAAAUGGAUGGAAAUAACUCAAACCCAAGAUUCACAAUAUAUAAAUACAAGCUCUAACAAUCUAAGCAAAAUAGGGUUUUUAAAAUAAAACGCACUACCAAUUAUAUAACCUAAAAUUUCUAUCUAUUAUCAAAAACAAAAAAAAUUCUCCUCGACGAAUCCAGUUACGGUGACCACCCCAGCUGGCCAUCACCUAAAUCCGCCCUUGCAUGUCUGCAGUGUGUUUCAAUUAUUUGAUACAAAUAUCAAUUAAAUAAUGGUACAAAGUGAUGAAUAAUAUAGAGUUCCCCUUUCUGACAAACCUUUCAAUAACACUACCCAAAAGAAAAAAUAAAGCAAUUUGGUCAAAUCCUAAUAUUUUGUAAGAACCUAUGGACACUAUAGAAACCAUGUGGUCGCACUUUAAUUAUAUAUAUAUAAUGUAAGCACAACACAUGACAAGGGUUUCCAUCAAUGAUAUUGUUAAAAAGGUUGAACCCCAACUUCGAGGGUUCUCAUCGUCCUGUCCUUGGAGUAUCGUGAGAGAGGUAAAUCGCGAGAUGUGCCUCAUCAGGCUAGGGAACAAAAGUUUGUUCGUACGCUGGUAUCCACAAAGAGCCCAAUUUCAUAUCUUAGAAAUCGAACCCUCACACUGCGACUGUCAACAAGAUUGAGAUUAUCUCACUUCUAUCUUUUGCACCACUGAAUUAUGUCGAGGGUCAAGAUAUUGUUACUUGUACAUCAAGUGGUGUCCACCCUCCUCACAUGGAGGGGACCUACUUAAAUGAAUCAUAUUUUAUUUAGAGUGACUCUGUCUCCAUGUGAGAUGGUGGAUAUCCCAAUGUACAUAUCGCAUCACCCUUGCAUCAACCCGCCACCCCCUCAAGAGUGCCUCAUGUUGCUGUCUCUCUCUCCUAAAAUCGCUGAAUUGUCAUCUAUUUACAUCGACACGCACAUAUAUACAAAUUUUGUUGAAAGGUAAAAUAUUUUUUAGAUAUUAGUUUUUGCUUUCGCCUCUAGUCACUGCUUGACUGAGAAUUGAGUUUUAUUUUUUAAAAUCAUUUUUGGAUUUUGUGAGUAUGGAUGGGAACAUGCAGACAGUGCCGGUCCUGUGCUUUCGAGGCCCUGAGGCGAACUUCAUAAAUUAGGCCCCCCUCCCCGAAAAAAAAAAAAAAUAUUUUUUUUUGGCUCUAGAAUCAUAUUUAGGAGACACCAUGGUAUAUGACUACGUGCGCCUAUGCAAUUGAUCAUUCGAUUAAAUCUAACAAAAGUCAAUAUAUAACCCGACAAGGGUGCAAUGCUACAAUGCAAUCAAAUAAGCCGACAAGGCCUUAACCAUAUAAGUUUAAUAUAAGUUUAAUAGUUUAUAAAUAAGCAAGGGCAAGCUAUCACUCACCUGAGAAAUAGGACUUGAGCAAAAAUUAUGAAAUGACACAAUGCAGCACUUUGAGAAUUCCACCAUCACAACUCAUAAUCCUGAAAUCAAAAUUUAACAUCAACCACAACAACCAAUUAAUUGUUGAAGAUAAAUUUAAGUUGUAUGUGAAGAUAAAUUUAAUAGCAAACAUUAAAUAAAUCCAUAAAACGUCUCUACAUUUCUCUCCCACUCCAUUCUUCUUUGCAUUUGCAUUUGCAUAAUAUAAUUUUCGACCACGAGGAGGACCUGGCUAAAUCCAUUCUUGAAGUGGACAGACGUGAAUACAUGGGAGCUCAAAAUCUUUCGAUCUCAAUACAUCAUUCUAGAAGACUCACACAACUAAGGUUCUACAUUUCUAGUAUCAAUUCAAGCACUGAUAUCUCAUUAAGAGACAUCAAAAUCAGUUCAGUUAGCAGCAUAAUAAAGGCUAAAUCAUACUGCAAAAACAUUGGAGAAUGACACUUUUCCAGAUGAUUGCUAUAAUUAACCAUUUUUUGUUCUUUGUGUAUACUUAAGUUUGUGCCGUGGUUUCAAUACGGCACAUGUAAAUUAUGUCCAACACCUUCAAAGUGCACCACUACAAGAUCUAAAAUUCCUAAAAUUCUUCCAAUUGACAUGUCCAUCAGUAAACCCCAAAGUAAUCUUAAUCUCAAAUGAGUCGGGUUUGUCUCAAAUUAAUCUUAAAAUUGAGGAGUCAGCAUUUUAUUUUUUAUUUUUUUUGUCUUUCUACCAAUCUCAAUAUCAAAGUAAAUAAUUGUAUUAACAAACAAACUUUCUUCUCACGAAGCAAGAUAAUUCUGAAAGAGAAAAGACAAAUAUUAUCAUGUAAACUAGAUUUCCACUGUGCUCAGGAAAAAUGUGUAACAUAUAAAAAUUGAAAUGAUUUUAAUAGGCAAGCAUGUAGAAACACACCCAUGUGAAAGGUUAUAUAAGGAAACCUUACUCUUCCUCCUCUCCAGAAGAAUCUAUUGAUUCCAUUGAUGGUGUUUUCCUGGCCGGAAGAAGAAAACAAUCAGAAUGUUCGGCUCCAAAACAUUCAAACUUAAGAAACACAUAAAUCUGCAAAAUAAAAAUUAGAGGAAUCUGUAAAUUGGUUACUCAAUGAUUGCUUAAAGUUUUAUUAUUC
This 6435-nucleotide long non-coding RNA is filed under the name Olea europaea (common olive). RNAcentral's name for it is "long non-coding RNA (OEUR_LNC000188)". Lineage: Eukaryota; Viridiplantae; Streptophyta; Magnoliopsida; Lamiales; Oleaceae. The record is from RNAcentral.